GUCUUCAUCCGCUCCGCUAGGUGGCAGCACUGAGAAUGUGGAGGUCUUGGAACAAAAUCAACAACAGUAGUCACUACUUCCUUUGCGCUGUGGAUACAUGUAUUAUUUCUGUGGAAUGAAAUGUACAGGCUUCUCAGUAAACCGACUCGUACCAGCCAUGGCCACUGCAGAUUGCUGCCUCCGUCCCUGCAGGGAGGCCAUUAGAUGUCUCUUGCAGUAGUAGAUCAGAGCUAGCUGAACAAGCAUCAUCGACGAGCUAGCUACUGAAUAUUUAUUUAUUUUGCUAGCUACUGAAUAACUACAGUAGCUUUCGCUUUCCACAAUGCAAGCUAUCAAAUAAACUUCGCUGCAAAUAUCCAACGGUGGAGUUGAUUUAUCAAUAUAUAAUCAAUGCGGUAUUUAUCCAAAAGUAACUUUAGAUUCGGAUUCGUUUUGCACCAACAGAAUGCAUUUGGUGGACUUUGUUUUAUCCUUUAAAAAAAGACUUACAGCAACAUGUAAUUAGUGUUGUAUUUCACCAUGAAGUUCUAUUUAACCUGGAGUUAUCUUGUGGAGUUUUAGUUUAGGGAUGUUAUUGGGAUGUCUUAGACACCCAAUAAUUGUUUAUUUAAAGAUGCAAUAUGUAACUUUUUGGGCUACCAGGACCAAAUUCACAUAGAAAUCUAAGUUAUAGAUUUGUCAUUCUCAUUGAAAGCAAGUCUCAGAAGCGGUUGAUCUGUUCUAUGUGUACUAUUUCUGUGCCUCCCGUUCAUAAAAUGUGUUUUAUGCAUCUUUUACUUUCAGUUUUGUACACCAGCUUCAAACAGCUGAAAAUACUAUACUGGUUAUGGAAAAGCUACUUCACAGCGGUUUAGGAUGAUGACCAGCACUGUCUUUAAAGGAGAGGACCAGACAUUCCCCACAUGGUUCCAUCCUAGAGCUACAAGACCCUAGAAUGAUGACCAGCUCUGUCUUUAAAGGAGAGGACCAGACAUUCCCCACAGGGUUCCAUCCUAGAGCUACAAGACCCUAGAAUGAUGACCAGCUCUGUCUUUAAAGGAGAGGACCAGACAUUCCCCACAGGGUUCCAUCCUAGAGCUACAAGACCCUAGAAUGAUGACCAGCUCUGUCUUUAAAGGAGAGGACAAGACAUCCCCCACC
This is a long non-coding RNA of Oncorhynchus tshawytscha (Chinook salmon), 1140 nucleotides long. NCBI's taxonomy places the organism in Eukaryota, Metazoa, Chordata, Actinopteri, Salmoniformes, Salmonidae. The record is from Ensembl.